RNAcentral lists this transfer RNA (87 nucleotides) under Veronia nyctiphanis. RNAcentral describes it as "Enterovibrio sp. CAIM 600 tRNA-Leu". It matches the Rfam family "tRNA". Rfam says of the family: Transfer RNA (tRNA) molecules are approximately 80 nucleotides in length. The record is from RNAcentral. Lineage: Bacteria; Pseudomonadati; Pseudomonadota; Gammaproteobacteria; Vibrionales; Vibrionaceae.
GCCGAGGUGGUGGAAUUGGUAGACACGCUAUCUUGAGGGGGUAGUGCCUAUCUAGGCGUGCGGGUUCAAGUCCCGCUCUCGGCACCA